RNAcentral lists this ribosomal RNA (530 nucleotides) under Megophrys major. RNAcentral's name for it is "Xenophrys major partial 16S ribosomal RNA". It matches the Rfam family "Bacterial large subunit ribosomal RNA", at positions 1857 to 2597 of the family's 2925-position model. The record is from RNAcentral. Lineage: Eukaryota; Metazoa; Chordata; Amphibia; Anura; Megophryidae. RNAcentral also lists the same sequence under 1 other name.
GCCUGCCCAGUGACCAUGUGUUCAACGGCCGCGGUAUUCUGACCGCGCGAAGGUAGCGUAAUCACUUGUCUUCUAAAUAAAGACUAGUAUGAACGGCCACACGAAGACUUAACUGUCUCCCCUGUCCAAUCAGUGAAACUGAUCUCCUUGUGCAGAAGCGAGGAUAAACCCAUAAGACGAGAAGACCCUAUGGAGCUUUAAACUUAAUAUUAACUAUUUCUAUAAUCCCCUCUAAGGAAUUAACAAAUAACCCUUUUCAACUUAAUAUUAGUUUUAGGUUGGGGCGACCAUGGAGAAAAAAAUAUCCUCCCUGAUGACUUUUAAACCAAGAGCUACAACUCUAAGUAUUAAGAUACUUAACUUCCAUUGACCCAUUUUAUGAUCAACGAACCAAGUUACCCUAGGGAUAACAGCGCAAUCCAUUUCAAGAGUCCCUAUCGACAAAUGGGUUUACGACCUCGAUGUUGGAUCAGGGCAUCCCAGUGGUGCAACCGCUACUAAUGGUUCGUUUGUUCAACGAUUAAAGCCCU